This 512-nucleotide ribosomal RNA is filed under the name uncultured bacterium. Its description in RNAcentral is "partial 16S ribosomal RNA". It matches the Rfam family "Bacterial small subunit ribosomal RNA", at positions 28 to 523 of the family's 1533-position model. The record is from RNAcentral.
GAUGAACGCUGGCGGCGUGCCUAAUACAUGCAAGUAGAACGCUGAAGGAGGAGCUUGCUCUUUCCGGAUGAGUUGCGAACGGGUGAGUAACGCGUAGGUAACCUGCCUGGUAGCGGGGGAUAACUAUUGGAAACGAUAGCUAAUACCGCAUGACAACAGUUAUUGCAUGAUAACUGUUUAAAAGGUGCAAUUGCAUCACUACCAGAUGGACCUGCGUUGUAUUAGCUAGUUGGUGAGGUAACGGCUCACCAAGGCGACGAUACAUAGCCGACCUGAGAGGGUGAUCGGCCACACUGGGACUGAGACACGGCCCAGACUCCUACGGGAGGCAGCAGUAGGGAAUCUUCGGCAAUGGACGGAAGUCUGACCGAGCAACGCCGCGUGAGUGAAGAAGGUUUUCGGAUCGUAAAGCUCUGUUGUAAGAGAAGAACGAGUGUGAGAGUGGAAAGUUCACACUGUGACGGUAUCUUACCAGAAAGGGACGGCUAACUACGUGCCAGCCGCCGCGGUAA